GAUGAAGAACGUAGCGAAAUGCGAUAAGUAAUGUGAAUUGCAGAAUUCAGUGAAUCAUCGAAUCUUUGAACGCACAUUGCGCCCCCUGGUAUUCCGGGGGGCAUGCCUGUUCGAGCGUCAUUUCAACCUUCAAGCUCUGCUUGGUAUUGGGCCUGCGCUGGUCUCCCAGCGGGCCUCAAAAUCAGUGGCGGUGCCAUCUGGCUCUAAGCGUAGUAAUUCUUCUCGCUAUGGAGUCCUGGUGGAUGCUUGCCAUCAACCCCCAAUUUUUCUAUGGUUGACCUCGGAUCAGGUAGGGAUACCCGCUGAACUUAAGCAUAUCAAUAAGCGGAGGA
Molecule: unclassified non-coding RNA, 332 nt
Filed under: soil metagenome
Description: partial contains 5.8S ribosomal RNA, internal transcribed spacer 2, and large subunit ribosomal RNA
Rfam family: 5.8S ribosomal RNA (bases 1-120)
Source: RNAcentral